UCAUGUACCCAUACUACCUCACACUAUUUGCUUGUCAGUCUUAUAAGAUAAGGUCAGGCCUGGUCAGUAAUUGAAUGGAAGGCCUCUAAGGAAAACCUGGCUGCUGCAGGUA
Molecule: ribosomal RNA, 112 nt
Organism: Chelonoidis abingdonii (Abingdon island giant tortoise)
Lineage: Eukaryota; Metazoa; Chordata; Testudines; Testudinidae
Source: Ensembl